RNAcentral lists this ribosomal RNA (38 nucleotides) under Ficus pedunculosa var. mearnsii. RNAcentral describes it as "partial 18S ribosomal RNA". Lineage: Eukaryota; Viridiplantae; Streptophyta; Magnoliopsida; Rosales; Moraceae. The record is from RNAcentral. RNAcentral also lists the same sequence under 1 other name.
GGUUUCCGUAGGUGAACCUGCGGAAGGAUCAUUGUCGG